Molecule: transfer RNA, 78 nt
Filed under: Streptomyces plicatus
Lineage: Bacteria; Bacillati; Actinomycetota; Actinomycetes; Kitasatosporales; Streptomycetaceae
Also listed under: 4 other names
Description: tRNA-Arg
Source: RNAcentral
UCGGCCGGGUGCAUCGAGGGCAGGCGCGGGGCGUUCCUGUCGUCCCAUUCGCGGGCGUCCAGGGCGUUCCAGGCCGGG